This 497-nucleotide ribosomal RNA is filed under the name uncultured bacterium. RNAcentral's name for it is "partial 16S ribosomal RNA". It matches the Rfam family "Bacterial small subunit ribosomal RNA", at positions 28 to 507 of the family's 1533-position model. The record is from RNAcentral.
GACGAACGCUGGCGGCGUGCUUAACACAUGCAAGUCGAGCGAACAGACCCUGCUUUUGCUCCUCUCACGUUAGCGGCGGGCGGGUGAGUCACGCGUGGACAACCCACCUCUAAGACUGAAAUCUCUUCGAGAAACUGUAGCACAUACCAGAUGAUAUAUUGAACCGCAUGGUUGAAUAGUUAAUUCCGUUUUUGCUGUCACUUCUAGCUGUCUCCUCGCCGGUUGAGCUAGUUGGUACGGUAACGGCUUACCAAGGCAACGAUGCGUGGCCGACCUGAGAGGGUGAUCGGCCACACUGGAACUGAGACACGGUCCAGACUCCGACGGGAGGCAGCAGUAGGGAAUCGUCCGCAAUGGGCGAAAGCCUGACGGAGCAACGCAGCGUGAGUGAUGAAGGUCUUCGGAGCGGAAAACUCUGUUAGUGGGGAAGAACAAAUGUGUAAGGAACUAAGCACGUCGUGACGGUACCUAAUCAGAAAGCCACGGCUAACUACGUG